Molecule: ribosomal RNA, 451 nt
Filed under: uncultured organism
Description: partial 16S ribosomal RNA
Rfam family: Bacterial small subunit ribosomal RNA
Source: RNAcentral
CACUCCUGCGGGAGGCAACAGUGGGGAAUAUUGGACAAUGGGCGCAAGCCUGAUCCAGCCAUGCCGCGUGAGUGAUGAAGGCCCUAGGGUUGUAAAGCUCUUUCACCGGUGAAGAUAAUGACGGUAACCGGAGAAGAAGCCCCGGCUAACUUCGUGCCAGCAGCCGCGGUAAUACGAAGGGGGCUAGCGUUGUUCGGAUUUACUGGGCGUAAAGCGCACGUAGGCGGACUAUUAAGUCAGGGGUGAAAUCCCGGGGCUCAACCCCGGAACUGCCUUUGAUACUGGUAGUCUUGAGUUCGAGAGAGGUGAGUGGAAUUCCGAGUGUAGAGGUGAAAUUCGUAGAUAUUCGGAGGAACACCAGUGGCGAAGGCGGCUCACUGGCUCGAUACUGACGCUGAGGUGCGAAAGCGUGGGGAGCAAACAGGAUUAGAAACCCUUGUAGUCCCAUGAU